This 110-nucleotide non-coding RNA is filed under the name Thalassiosira oceanica. The record is from RNAcentral. Lineage: Eukaryota; Bacillariophyta; Thalassiosirophyceae; Thalassiosirales; Thalassiosiraceae.
GUCGCCUCACUUAAUAGGCCCAAAGGAAGGGAAAGUCCCCGGUCUUCAAGGCCCACACACGCACCCGAAAGGGCGCCGUGAAGCUCCGAUCCAUCGACUAUGCUGAGCGG